RNAcentral lists this ribosomal RNA (433 nucleotides) under uncultured bacterium. RNAcentral describes it as "partial 16S ribosomal RNA". It matches the Rfam family "Bacterial small subunit ribosomal RNA", at positions 29 to 507 of the family's 1533-position model. The record is from RNAcentral.
AACGAACGCUGGCGGCAUGCCUAACACAUGCAAGUCGAACGAGACCUUCGGGUCUAGUGGCGCACGGGUGCGUAACGCGUGGGAACCUGCCCUUAGGUUCGGAAUAACUCCCCGAAAGGGGUGCUAAUACCGGAUAAUGUCUUCGGACCAAAGAUUUAUCGCCUUUGGAUGGGCCCGCGUUGGAUUAGCUAGUUGGUAGGGUAAAAGCCUACUAAGGCGACGAUCCAUAGCUGGUCUGAGAGGAUGAUCAGCCACACUGGGACUGAGACACGGCCCAGACUCCUACGGGAGGCAGCAGUGGGGAAUAUUGGACAAUGGGCGAAAGCCUGAUCCAGCAAUGCCGCGUGAGUGAUGAAGGCCUUAGGGUUGUAAAGCUCUUUUACCGGGGAUGAUAAUGACAGUACCGGGAGAAUAAGCUCCGGCUAACUCCGUG